This 73-nucleotide transfer RNA is filed under the name Felis catus (domestic cat). It matches the Rfam family "tRNA". Rfam says of the family: Transfer RNA (tRNA) molecules are approximately 80 nucleotides in length. Their secondary structure includes four short double-helical elements and three loops (D, anti-codon, and T loops). Lineage: Eukaryota; Metazoa; Chordata; Mammalia; Carnivora; Felidae. The record is from Rfam by way of RNAcentral.
GCCUGACUGGCUCAGUUCAGAGAGCAUAUGACUCUUGAUCUUGGGGCCAUGGGUUCGAGCCCCACGUCGGGUG